AGAGUUUGAUCCUGGCUCAGAAUCAACGCUGGCGGCGUGCCUAACACAUGCAAGUCGAACGAGAAAGUGGAGCAAUCCAUGAGUAAAGUGGCGCACGGGUGAGUAACACGUGACUAACCUACCCUUGAGUGGGGGAUAACCUAGGGAAACCUGGGCUAAUACCGCAUAAUACCUACGGGUCAAAGGAGCAAUUCGCUUAAGGAGGGGGUCGCGGCCGAUUAGUUAGUUGGCGGGGUAAUGGCCCACCAAGACAGUGAUCGGUAUCCGGCCUGAGAGGGCGCACGGACACACUGGAACUGAAACACGGUCCAGACUCCUACGGGAGGCAGCAGUGGGGAAUUUUGCGCAAUGGGGGAAACCCUGACGCAGCAACGCCGCGUGGAGGAUGAAGUCUCUUGGGACGUAAACUCCUUUCGAUCGGGACGAUAAUGACGGUACCGAGAGAAAAAGCCCCGGCUAACUUCGUGCCAGCAGCCGCGGUAAUACGAGGGGGGCGAGCGUUGUUCGGAAUUAUUGGGCGUAAAGGGUGCGUAGGCGGUUCGGUAAGUCUUGUGUGAAAUCUUCGGGCUCAACUCGAAGUCUGCACUAGAAACUGCCGGGCUUGAGUGUGGGAGAGGUGAGUGGAAUUUCCGGUGUAGCGGUGAAAUGCGUAGAUAUCGGAAGGAACACCUGUGGCGAAAGCGGCUCACUGGACCACAACUGACGCUGAGGCACGAAAGCUAGGGGAGCAAACAGGAUUAGAUACCCUAGUAGUCC
RNAcentral lists this ribosomal RNA (756 nucleotides) under uncultured bacterium. RNAcentral describes it as "bacterial SSU rRNA". It matches the Rfam family "Bacterial small subunit ribosomal RNA", at positions 8 to 796 of the family's 1533-position model. The record is from RNAcentral.